This 6525-nucleotide long non-coding RNA is filed under the name Panicum hallii. RNAcentral's name for it is "long non-coding RNA (PHAL_LNC000399)". The record is from RNAcentral. Lineage: Eukaryota; Viridiplantae; Streptophyta; Magnoliopsida; Poales; Poaceae.
CUCGUGCUGAUAUUUGUGUGCAUACAUCGACAUACUUCUCCGAGAUACUUUUUAGCCUAAUUGGAGGGUCAACUGAUUAGUAGAGCUUUAUAUCCAGGAUGCACCCUUAAUUUACAGUUAACAACCAUAUAGUUUGGAAUCCCUUAUUUGCUAUUUUCACAUGCUGAAAUUUGCAUUUCAUGCAUUCUGUCCUUAUUUUUCUCAUUGCAUUUCCAAAUGGGAAGAAAUCAUUAACAGUUACCUGGCUUGCUGUAUCAUAUAAUGUCGUUGUACUAACCACAGAUACUAUUGCUGUCAUUGUGUUGGUUCAUCAUAAACUUCCUGCUUUGGCUUGCCUAUCGAGUCUUUCAUUAUCAGAUUAUCCUGCAGAAUUGGUAUUACCUUUCCAAAACUCUGGCAGAACGUGAGGCUUUUGCUUAUGCAGCAAAAACGGGGCUGGAUGUUGUAACUAUUUGCCCAUCUUUGGUAUUCGGACCCUUGAUGCAGCCUACAAUAAAUACCAGCAGUAAAGUCCUCCUUAAUUAUAUUAAAGGUAGUGUAAUAAUAUGGUAUCUUAGUUUCUAUUUCUUCAUAUUCAGUUAAAUAAUUAAAAUGAUAAUCUAUCCAACGGUGUUUGUCUAUCACUUAUUUCUGAUUAUUCAUAAAGCAUAUUGAUUGAUAGCUGGAAGGAACUUUAUCUACUUAGGAUCAAGAUGUUCAGUUUACCAACUUAAUGCAGUUUAGUGCUUUCUUUUGGAAGUAAAUACAUUUCUUCUGCAGGAGAUCGUGACGCCAUUGAAAAUAGAAUCAGAAAUAUUGUGGAUGUUCGCGAUGUUGCUGAUGCUCUUCUUCUGGCAUACGAAAAAUCAGAGGCAUCUGGACGAUACAUCUGCUGUUCACCUCCAAUAAAAGUUUCUGAUAUAAUAAACAUAUUGAAGAACUUAUAUCCAACUUAUCCUUAUCCCAAAAAGUAAGUCUCCUCCUCUGAAAUGGAUUUGUUGUCUCCUACAUGUAAGCGAACAGUUUCAUCCCUCUCUUAACUCCAAUAGCUGUUCUUUUAUCUGCACAUCUAUAACAUACGAACGGCAUAACAAACAAGAGAACGUUGAUAACAUGCAGAUGACUUGUCAACCAAUAAAAUUCCACUGUUUCAUGUUAUGGCAGUUCCUUAAUUUGUUGUGUAACUUCACCAUUAGGCACGGUAGAAACAGGUCCUUCAUAUUGAUUUAAUACUUGCAUGCAUGCACAAAAUUGAGUGAGCUUGGAUUUUAAAAUCUGAAUGUUUUGGUGAACCACUGAAUUCCUGUUCAUAUUGUUCUUCCUUUCAGUUUUACACUCCCUUGAUGCGGUUGGAACUUAUUGUUUCCGUUUUUGAUGUUUUGUAGCUUCGUGGAAGUGGAAGAGAACUCAGUUUUUAGUUUCGAGAAACUUCAGAAGCUAGGAUGGACCUUCAGGCCUAUAGAGGAAACCCUCCGUGACAGCAUCAAAUCCUACAAAGCAUUUGGCUUUCUGAACUGAGCAUCCAGCUAGCUCUGAAUUGAGCUUCCAACUGGGAUUGUUUCCUCUGCUGUUACCUCCAAACUCAUGCUAAAUAAUCUAAACAGUGAAAAAGCAGCUCCAUCACUAUAAUACAUCUUGAUUAAUGUAAACAGUGAAACAGAAGGUAUUGUUUGCGACAAAUUCAAGAAUGGAAUCAUACGGGAGCAAGAGGUUCAGCACUGUAUUUUCCAGCCUGUUUUAUCUUGAAUUCUUGAUGGUCCGGACCAAGUAUGUAGGCCUGGUGUUGACAACUAUUAUGACUUGUAAUGUUAUCAUUGCCAGGAAUAUAGGUGAUUCCUGCUAAUACAUAUAAUCAGACUGCUUGCUAUACAUAUGAAUAGACUGUCCAUCUAGUUGAAAUCAGGGAUUAGAUUCACUCCGGACCUAUAGGUAUUUCGUGGCCUGGCACAUAACCUGUCAAUAUUCGCGCUCCGGCCUCCAGGUUGGUCCUAAAAGCCUCCAUUGGAAUACUACUGAAUCUUGCUGCUUCAACCCCAAAAAUUCAGACAUAUACUGUCUAUAAUCAUAGGCACCAAAAUUGACUUCUAUAGCUUCAACUUCAAUGAAAUGAUCCCAUCUCCCACAUUAUGAUUGAGGACUGUUUUUCUUUUAAAAAAUACAAAUAAAGAGACAUUGAACUGUGUCGUGCAAAACUCGUGAGAUUUGAAAUUCUCACAACCUCAAAAGUUUUGAGUACCCCUUGCUGAAACUAGAAAAAAAAUUUGUGUUGAAAAUAGAAGUUGUUGGUAGAACUACUCCGGUAAGAGGUAGAAGGGUAUCUGAAAAGGAGAGUACCAGUUUUGCAAAAAAAAAAAAAAGAAAGAAACGAAGAGUACCAAAACAGAGGUUAAACUCGACGCCUAGACCUCUCUGGACUUGUUGCCAGGCAGUGGACUCGGCCGUUCCCUUCUUCGGUGGCAGUGGUAGAGCGUGAACCAAAAAUAUAGAGGGGGCUAAUUUACCAACUUCAAAUCAAUAUAUAUAAAAGUUUCAUAGAAAUCUAAAUCAAUAUAUAUAAAAGUUUCAUAGAAAUCUCUUAAUAGGAUUCAUGUACCAAAAGAAGGCUGGCCAGUGUGGCCACGUCGCUUGCUGUUCCCGGUCGUCGGAUUGGCCUGGCGGACGGCCCAGAUCCUAUGAGUUCCGGUCAUUUUGCAAAAAGCUCUCGAACUUUAGAUAAAUCAACCAGCAGUCCAGCCUCUUCCCUUAGGUAAUUUUGCAAAAAACUAACAACUUUUAUCAAAAUCAACCCGCGGUCCAACCUUCCCGAUUUAGAGAAUUUGCAGAGAAAAUCUUAAAUUUUCAGAAAAUCAACAUCCUGGUCGUCUCUCAGAAAUGAUUUAGAAAAACCCACGGAUUUUAAUUAAAUUAAACCUCAACUCAUUCCAUCUGUUGCUUCUACACGAGCAACAUUACAAUUUGAACACCAAAACACGUUGAAAUCAAAAGUUGUUCAAUAUAGAAUUUGAUCAAAAAUCCAAAACUACAACUUCAUUAUAAAGCAAAUUUUAAAAUUCAAAACGCUUUCACAAUUCGUUUGCACAAAUGCUUGCAUGCGAUCCGUCGUACCUAUAAUAUGGACACCAAAACGUCUUCAAAUUAAAAAGUGUUCAAUACAAAAGUUGCUUAGGAUUUCAAAAUCUACAGCUUUAUUAUAUAGUAAUUUAAAAGUGUUCAAUACAAAAGUUGCUCAGGAUUUCAAAAUAUACAGCUUUACAAUUUUAAAUUCAAAAUGCUUUUAGAAUUUAUCCACAUAAAUGUUUACGUAAGAUCCAUUCUACAUCCAUUCUACCUACGAUUCAGACACCAAAACAUCUUUACGUCAAAAAAUUUUAAAUACAAAAAUUGCUCAAAAUUUCAGAACCAAAAGCUUUUGCUACACAACAAAUUUUUAAAAUAAAUGACAACCAAAAAUACUAUAACCAAAAACACUAAAUAUAACAAAAAAAGAUAGUUCCAUUCCCACGCAAAAAUAAUAUCCUACUUAAAUAGUAGUGUCACGAUAAUAGAGAGUCCAAAAUAUACAUCAACUACAACAACAGGCUGCAUAUCAUGAUUCCUAAGUAUACAAUAAUUGCUACUCUGUGCAUGAACUAAAAUCUGUAUCAACUACAGUUUGACGACACGAAAUACGGGUCCUACGCGGCAAAGCCUCGCGCGUUUCUAGUAAGUUUUGAUUGAUGAACUACUGGUAACUAUGUUACACUUAAGAAACUACAAGUGACCGUAGCCUAUUGUCAGUAGAGACCUAUCACCGUAUCAUACUAUCAUAUUAGUAUAUAUAUACACACAAAAAGAUAAGUAAUCAGUAUAACUAGCACUUGUUAAAAGUUCUCCCUUCUUUUCUUCAUAGCUAUAGUCUCCUGCUAUUUUUCCUUCCAUGUGUACUACCAAACUAUUGGUAAGAAAUUCGUCUUUCAUCUUGUUUCAUAAUCUUGUCUUAGUGAUCUUCAAGAUAGAAAAAGCACGCUAGCGCUAGCCAUUGAAACUAGAAGAGUAAUAAGAAGCAACCGAAGCAAUCUAUCAAUCAUGUUCAAAUUCAUAUAACGUCCAAUGGCAACAAGGCGUCAGCAUAGCUCAGCUAUGGUUGCAAUAUUUUUCAGCUCUUCACUUGCGUGUUGAGCGGACUACGACUUUGUAUAUUGAAUGGAUUGCAGAGCUCUCUGCUCUUCUCUUCAAAAAGUUUGGUGGGGGGGAGGGGGGGGGGGGAUCUCUAUGGCCCUACAAUGCUCCGCCAGUGUUCGGUGGUAGCAUGGAGUUUCUAAGUUAAAAAAUAUCUUUUAUUUCUCUAUCUAGCCAUCCCACGUACUCUCUAUUUUCUAUUUUAUAUUGGUACAAUAUUAAGAAGGACCUUGCUUAUUAUUUUAUUCAUUCCGAUUUCUCAAUUUCGAUAUUAUCAUAUACAUACAUCAUUCCUUUUUCAAGAAAAAUUACUUUACACGGAAAUCGAACAACCAUCUAUACUAUUUUCAAAAUAUCAACCGAUUUCUCAAUUUCGAUAUUAUCAUAUACAUACAUCAUUCCUUUUUCAAGAAAAAAUUACUUUGCACGGAAAUCGAACAACCAUCUAUACUCUUUUCAAAAUAUCAACUAACUAUUAAAAAGAAUACUUUAAUUUUAAAAAUAGGACUAUAAAAAAAGAACGCAGGAUUAUCACAUAUCUUUGCCAAACCAGAGUUCCAAGGAACCUUAAAAAAAGAGUUGGGAAAAUUUACAACCGGAUAUCAUUAAAAAAAUACUUUUUACUCUGACCAUUAAAAAUGAGGAUCUUCGCCAGAAGAUAUUAUAGAACUAUGUAUAUUUGCUGAGAGACUGACAUUAUAACCUAUGAAAUAAUAUUUUCACUUUGAUCACACAAAACUUAAAUCUGGACAACUCCCCCUCCCUCCGGCCAGCAUAUCCACGAGACCACAACAUGCACCCGUGCCUUGUGGCUGCGGGCCCUUGCAGCAGAGGCACCACGCAACGCAAGGCCCUGCCACGCACAGCACAAAACGGAAGAGAGAGCGGAGGAGAGAGACAGAGAGAACGAGAGAGAAAUCGGAAGAGAGAGAAAAAGGAGAGACAGCAGCACCGGUGGUACUCAUCAGCGGCAGCAGCUACCUCGGAGCGCAGCCCCCACCAGCCACCGCUCCUCACGUUCGCAUCACAGCCGCGUCUCCCCGCGCGCUGGGCUCUACUGGUGCUCGCUCGCUGAGUCGCUGGCCGCGGCCGGCGUCGGAGCCAGUUCAGCUCCAGCCGAUUCGACCGUGGGAGCUGUUGUUGCUGCCGCCAGGAGGGGUCUCCGCUGGGGCGCGGUGCUACUCGCCGGUACUCUCCGGCGCUCCGGCAAGAGCCGCAGCUGGGCGUGGUCGCCACCAGGAGGCAGGAGAGGCCGCACACUGGGAAGCGAAGCGCGCCGCCGCCUGGAGUUCGCGGCAGGAUAAGGCGUGCAAACGGUUUCGCGGGAGGAAUCGGCGUGCGAUGGGAUAAGGUAAGCAGGGGCAGACCUGUCAUUCCAUCUCCAAAUAAACUGAAUAAAAUAGUGAGUACAAUGUCUCCCACCAAACACAGAAAUUUCAGAAUUUAGGAUCAUAUACGAGCGCCUUUCAGGAUUUGGACCCAAUUCGCCUGCCUUUUAGAAUUUGACCCCAUCUCACGAAUUAUUUGAGUUUAGGUGUUUUCCAUCUAUUUUCUCAAUUUUGCCUGUUUUUCCUUUUCUUUUUCUUUCCCAGCCCACCUGAAAUUCCAAUCUUGCCCCUGCCCCUCACGAUAAAAAAAAUUCAGAUAUCACAGGUGUUGGGAGCUUCCCCAAGUCUUUUUCUAAAGAUAACAUGGUGUAACAGCGAUAGUCUACAAUCUAUUCAUAGCAUUUUCGAGGCACAUCAACAGAGCUACCAUCAUCCAUCUUUGCUAAACUGAGAAAUCUGGACCGACAAUCUAAACGCAGCAUCCGGAUCAAUCCUACCGCAAUCCUACCGCGUACCAAGAAAAAAACAAGUACAUGGAUCAGUAAGUUCAAUCCUAAUCGAUAUUUUUCUUCACGGAUGCGCCCUUCCCCCCAAAUCGAACCAAACUGAAACUAUACAGAACCCGGCCAGGAGAGUGAUUAGGGAGGCCUUACCCGGGAGGCACAUCAGUGGGAUCCAUGGUGUCCGUUCAGCCUGUUCCGACCGCCCGCAUCUGCUGGUUGCGUUCCUCCCCAGGAACCUAGCGGCGGCGCAAGAACGAGCGAGAGGAGAGAGGGACGAAAGAGAGGAGCUGCCUGGUGGCCGGUGGCCUGAUUCAAUCGUGAGGAGAUAAGGUGCCAAGCGGCAGGGGCAAGGUUGGAAUUUCAGGUGGGCUGGGAAAGAAAAAGAAAUGGGAAAAGAGGCAAAAUUGAGAAAAUAGAUGGAAAACACCUAAAAUGAAACAAUACGUGAGACGGGGGUCAAAUUCUGAAAGGCACGUGAAUUGGGUCCAAAAUCCUGAAAGGUGCUCGUAUUUGAUCCCAGAUUCUGAAAUUUCUCCACCAAAUAUACAUGAUUUUAU